RNAcentral lists this ribosomal RNA (385 nucleotides) under uncultured bacterium. Its description in RNAcentral is "bacterial SSU rRNA". It matches the Rfam family "Bacterial small subunit ribosomal RNA", at positions 28 to 409 of the family's 1533-position model. The record is from RNAcentral.
GACGAACGCUGGCGGCGUGCUUAACACAUGCAAGUGGAGCGACGAACCGGGGCUUGCCCCGGGGCAGAGCCGCGAACGGGUGAGUAACACGUGGGUAACCUGCCUCAAUGAUUGGGACAACCCGGGGAAACUCGGGCUAAUACCAAAUGUGUUCACUCCUUCUAAGGGGAGUGAGGAAAGGAAGCUUCGGCCUCCGCAUUGAGAUGGGCCCGCGGCCCAUUAGCUUGUUGGUGAGGUAACGGCUCACCAAGGCUUCGAUGGUAGCUGGUCUGAGAGGACGAUCAGCCACACUGGGACUGAGACACGGCCCAGACUCCUACGGAGGCAGCAGUGGGAAUCUUGCACAAUGCGCGAAAGCGUGAUGCAGCAACGCCGCGUGGGGGAA